UUUGUUCUAAUAAGUCAUAACGACUCUCGGCAACGGAUAUCUCGGCUCUCGCAUCGAUGAAGAACGUAGCGAAAUGCGAUACGUGGUGUGAAUUGCAGAAUUCCGUGAACCAUCGAGUUUUUGAACGCAAGUUGCGCCCGAAGCCAUUCGGCCGA
This 155-nucleotide ribosomal RNA is filed under the name Pilea martinii. RNAcentral's name for it is "5.8S ribosomal RNA". The stretch from base 22 to 155 matches the Rfam family "5.8S ribosomal RNA", at positions 1 to 132 of the family's 154-position model. From Rfam's summary of the family: 5.8S ribosomal RNA (5.8S rRNA) is a component of the large subunit of the eukaryotic ribosome. It is transcribed by RNA polymerase I as part of the 45S precursor that also contains 18S and 28S rRNA. Functionally, it is thought that 5.8S rRNA may be involved in ribosome translocation. Lineage: Eukaryota; Viridiplantae; Streptophyta; Magnoliopsida; Rosales; Urticaceae. The record is from RNAcentral.